UAGGAUCUGGUUUAAGGCGUUUGGUGGAUGCCUUGGCUCUUUUAGCUGAUGAAGGACGUGGUAGUCUGCGAUAAGCUUCGGUUAGCUGGCAACAAGCGUUUACCCGGAGAUUUCCGAAUGGGGCAACCCGCCUGAUUUAUCAGGCACCCACCGCCCAAUUCAUAAGCGGUGUGGAAGGAACUCCCUGAACUGAAACAUCUAAGUAAGGGGAGGAAAAGAAAGCAAUAGCGAUUCUCUAAGUAGCGGCGAGCGAAAAGGGAAUAGCCCAAACCCCGAUUUAAUCGGGGGGUUGUAGGGCUUACCUGCCUUUAAUGGCAAGAAGUUACAAAACUUUUUGGUAGUAGAAAGAUCUGGAAUGGUGUACCACAGAGAGUGAAAGUCUCGUAUGCGAAACCAAAAAGACUUCUGGUGAGUACCUGAGUACCGCGGGGCACGUGAAAUCCUGCGGGAAUCUACGCCGAACACGGCGUAAGGCUAAAUACUAAAAGAGACCGAUAGUGAACAAGUACCGUGAGGGAAAGGUGAAAAGAACCCCUGUGAGGGGAGUGAAAUAGAUCUGAAACCAAACGCUAACAAGCAGUCGGAGUCCGCCAGCUGGCGGAUGACGGCGUGCCUAUUGAAGAAUGAGCCGGCGAGUUAUGCAGCUACUGCAAGUCUAAGUCCUUAAAAGGACGAAAGCGUAGUGAAAGCGAGCCCUAACUGGGCGUUUAGCAGUGUUGCGUAGACCCGAAACCGGGUGAGCUACCUAUGGACAGGGUGAACUCCGACGAAGGUCGGAGGGAGGCCCGAACCCGUUACCGCUGCAAAGGUAUGGGACGAUCUGUGGGUAGAGGUGAUAUGCCAAUCGAACCCGGAGAUAGCUGGUUCUCCCCGAAAUAUAUAUAAGUAUAGCAUUCUGUGAUGGGCUUGUGGGGUAGAGUUACUGAAUGGCUUUGGCAAGCGCAAGUGAGCCAAGCUAACCAAACUCCGAAUACGCAAGUUUUUUAGCAGAAUAGUCAGACUGUUCGGGCUAAGCCGAAUAGUCUAAAGGGAAACAGCCCAGACCAUCAGUUAAGGUCCCUAAGAUCAAGCUAAGUGAGGAAGGAAGUAUCAUUCCUUAGACAGGUAGGAGGUUGGCUCAGAAGCAGCCAUCCUUUAAAGAGUGCGUAACAGCUCACUAUCCGAUUUGGGAAUGGUGCGCCGAAAAUUCAACGGGGCUAAAGCUUGCCAAGUACCGUAAGGUAACUUGGUUCUAGAUCUUUGGUCUAGAAACACCGAAACUAUGGGCCCGAUCUAAUCGGGCGGUAGGGGAGCGUUCUUGGUGGGGUGAAGCUUUGACGUAAGUCAGGGUGGACUGCCAAGAAGUGAGAAUGCCGGCAUGAGUAACAACACUUCGGUGAAAAACCGAAGCGCCGAAUACCCAAGGUUUCCUUCGCAACGAUAAUCGGCGAAGGGUUAGUCGGUCCUAAGCCAAGUCCCGGGUAACGGGGGUAGGUGAUGGAUAAGCCGUUAAAAUUCGGCUACCAAGUUUAGCCCGCUAGUUCACGUAAGUGAACCUACGAUCGUAAGAUUGUAUUCAGCGAAGGGUUGACAAAGGUGGAAGUUUCUCCACUGCUUUUGCAUAUGCAGUGCUAAGUAGUUAGGAAGUGGCAGCAGGAAAAUCCGCUGAUACGUUUAUCUAAGCUACGAUGGCCCCGAAAGGCGCAAGUUAAUUGGGGGUAGAAAGCUUUCAGCUUUCAAGAAAAUGCUCGUCGUGAGGACUAAAUUUGACCGUACCGCAAACCGACACAGGUGGGUUGGUAGAGUAUACCAAGGCGAUCGGGAGAACUAUUUCCAAGGAACUCGGCAAAAAAUCUGGGCGUAAGUUAUGCGAGAUGCCCUUCCCGAUUUAUUCGGGACGCAGCUAAAGACUCUCAAGCGACUGUUUAACAAAAACACAGGGCUCUGCAAACCCGUAAGGGGACGUAUAGGGCCUGACGCCUGACCAGUGCCGUAAGGUUAAGGAAGGGGCUGCAAGGCUCCAACUGAAGCCACGGUAAACGUCCGCAGUAACUAUAACUGUGCUAAGGUAGCGAAAUUCCUUGUCGGGUAAGUUCCGACCCGCACGAAAGGCAGAACGACUUGAGAACUGUCUUGGGAAUAGACCCGGUGAAAUUGAGAUGGCUGUGAAGACGCGGCCUAAGUAUGCCAGGACAAAAAGACCCCGUGGAGCUUUACUACAACUUGGCCCUGCGUUAGGUUGUAAGAUGUGUAGUGUAGGUGGGAGUCUUCGGACAACAAUGAAACACCACCCUUCUUGCAAUUUGACGCUUACUUCGACCCAUAAUCUGGGCGAAAGACAAGGUCUGGUGGGUAGUUUGACUGGGGCGGUCCCCGCCUAAAGAGUAACGGUGGGGCCCAAAGGUUCGCUUAUCCCGGAUGGAAAUCGGGAUGAAUGUGUAAAGGCAAAAGCGAGCUUGACUGCGAGGCCUACAAGCCGAGCAGGUACGAAAGUAGGGCUUAAUGAUCCUCCGAUUGCCUAGUGUGAGGCACGGAGCUUAACGGAUAAAAGCUACCCCGGGGAUAACAGGCUAAUAGUGCCCAAGAGUUCAUAUCGACGGCACUGUUUGGCACCUCGAUGUCGGCUCGUCUUAUCCUCCUGCUGAAGUAGGCGGGAAGGGUUGGGCUGUUCGCCCAUUAAAAAGGUACGCGAGCUGGGUUCAGAACGUCGUGAGACAGUUCGGUCUCUAUCCGGCAUACUCGUAGGAAUCUUGAGAGGGGCUGCUUCUAGUACGAGAGGACCGAAGCGGACCAGCCUCUGGUGUACCAGCUGUAGAGCUUCUGCAACGCUGGGUAGCUAUGCUGGGUUGGUAUAAGCGCUGAAAGCAUCUAAGUGCGAAGACCACCUCAAGAUUAGGAUUCCUGUCUCGCCGACAAGGCGGGCUUAGAUCCCUGGAAGACUACCAGGUUGAUAGGCGGCAAGUGUAAGAGUAGUAAUACUUUCAGCUAAGCCGUACUAAUAGAUCUUUUCAGAUCCAAAG
Non-coding RNA from Candidatus Woykebacteria bacterium RBG_13_40_15, 2999 nucleotides. NCBI's taxonomy places the organism in Bacteria, Candidatus Woykeibacteriota. The record is from Rfam.